This 669-nucleotide ribosomal RNA is filed under the name bacterium IMCC8833. RNAcentral describes it as "bacterial SSU rRNA". It matches the Rfam family "Bacterial small subunit ribosomal RNA", at positions 28 to 745 of the family's 1533-position model. The record is from RNAcentral.
AACGAACGCUGGCGGCAGGCCUAACACAUGCAAGUCGAGCGCACCUUCGGGUGAGCGGCGGACGGGUUAGUAACGCGUGGGAACGUACCCUUUUCUACGGAAUAGCCUUUGGAAACGAAGAGUAAUACCGUAUACGCCCUUUGGGGGAAAGAUUUAUCGGAGAAGGAUCGGCCCGCGUUAGAUUAGAUAGUUGGUGGGGUAACGGCCUACCAAGUCUACGAUCUAUAGCUGGUUUUAGAGGAUGAUCAGCAACACUGGGACUGAGACACGGCCCAGACUCCUACGGGAGGCAGCAGUGGGGAAUCUUAGACAAUGGGCGCAAGCCUGAUCUAGCCAUGCCGCGUGAGUGAUGAAGGCCUUAGGGUCGUAAAGCUCUUUCGCCUGUGAUGAUAAUGACAGUAGCAGGUAAAGAAACCCCGGCUAACUCCGUGCCAGCAGCCGCGGUAAUACGGAGGGGGUUAGCGUUGUUCGGAAUUACUGGGCGUAAAGCGCACGUAGGCGGAUUGGAAAGUUGGGGGUGAAAUCCCGGGGCUCAACCCCGGAACUGCCUCCAAAACUAUCAGUCUAGAGUUCGAGAGAGGUGAGUGGAAUUCCAAGUGUAGAGGUGAAAUUCGUAGAUAUUUGGAGGAACACCAGUGGCGAAGGCGGCUCACUGGCUCGAUACUGACG